RNAcentral lists this ribosomal RNA (518 nucleotides) under uncultured bacterium. RNAcentral's name for it is "bacterial SSU rRNA". It matches the Rfam family "Bacterial small subunit ribosomal RNA", at positions 28 to 548 of the family's 1533-position model. The record is from RNAcentral.
GACGAACGCUGGCGGCGUGCUUAAUGCAUGCAAGUCGAACGAAGAGCCCCCUCUGGGUAACCAAAGGGGACCUCUUAGUGGCGAACGGGUGAGUAACACGUGAGAAACCUGCCCCGGAGAUCGGGAUAGCCCAGGGAAACCUGGAUUAAUACCGAAUACCCUCGAAUGGUCGCAUGUCCGAUCGAGGAAAUGGUCCGCCGCUCCGGGAUGGUCUCGCGUCCUAUCAGCUUGUUGGUGAGGUAACGGCUCACCAAGGCAACGACGGGUAGCUGGUCUGAGAGGACGAUCAGCCACACUGGGACUGAGACACGGCCCAGACUCCUACGGGAGGCAGCAGCAGGGAAUUUUGCACAAUGGGCGCAAGCCUGAUGCAGCGACGCCGCGUGGGGGAUGAAUGCCUUCGGGUUGUAAACCCCUUUCAGGAGGGACGAAGCGAAAGUGACGGUACCUCCAGAAGAAGCCCCGGCCAACUACGUGCCAGCAGCCGCGGUAAUACGUAGGGGGCGAGCGUUGUCCGG